AUACCUACUAUUGGUUAUAGUUCACUUGUAGGCGGUAGCAAUAGCUUGGUGCCUUCAGCGUUACUAGUCCUUGGACAUGCAUGAACAUGUGGGAUACUUUCGAAAUCUAGCUUGCGUCAGAUCUCUUUCGAACGCCUUUAUUUUCUUGUUUUGUUUCUAGCUUACCUCCACGGUUGAUAUAUUCGGGCCAUCAUCAAGUCAAUAUUAUGUGGAAGGACUUACUUAAUUGUUUUUUAUAAGAAUAUAUAGUGACUAAACUUGGUCGACUAUUCCAAUUAAGUAGAGUGAGAGGUGAGAGAGAUAGUUUUUUUUUUAUGAAUCCAUAGUCCUAGUAGAAACACUAACACUAAAAGUGGCAAAAUUAAUACAAAACCUGGUUUGAUACUUCAAAUUAGGAGGUUUAACCUGGAAUUAAUAACCUUCUUCUGAGAUAGUCUAAUUUGUGAAGCAUUUACCAUUUCAAAUUAUUUUAUUGACUUGUCCAAUUCAUGCCAAGAUGAUAUACACAUAAAAGACUAUGUGCCAAUGAAUUUACUUUUUGAAUUCUUUUUUUCAAAAUGGGGUGUGUAAAUUGCAGACAUAUCAUUCCGUAGCAAGGGGUUGAAUCUUUCUGUCACCCUUGGUAUGUGGAUCUUCAUAAUUCAUAAUUGUGUACCUUACGAAGAUUUUUGUAACUAUUUAGGAAAAAACUAUCACACACUUGUAGUUCAAAUUUGAAUUACUUAUGACAAAUCGGCCAUCACUUAAAUGGGAAAACGUAGCUAGAAAGCUAGGAAAUUAAUAAUAAUUUGAUAGUAUACACGAAAUAUGGUAUACUUCAUGUCAAAAUUGUAUAGGUGCAAUUUUGAACCACAUAUAUUAAUCGUGCUUGCUUCACAAAAUACACUAUCUUGGUGUUUAGAAAAUGGAAAAAAUAAAACAAAAAAGUUGUGAACCUCUUGAGCAAUAUUGUUUGCCAUGGCAAUAUGCACCUCUAUGCAACAAAAAAAGGGUACAUUAUCAGGAACUAUGGCAUGGAUCGAAAUGGGCAUAAACUUGGUCAGUUGUCUUAAAAACCAUUAUAAUAUUCAUACAUGCUAGGCCAUUUUGUGAAGUUUUUUUGUGUGAAA
This 1109-nucleotide long non-coding RNA is filed under the name Brachypodium distachyon (stiff brome). RNAcentral's name for it is "long non-coding RNA (BDIS_LNC001163)". Lineage: Eukaryota; Viridiplantae; Streptophyta; Magnoliopsida; Poales; Poaceae. The record is from RNAcentral.